Non-coding RNA from Drosophila suzukii, 2099 nucleotides. Lineage: Eukaryota; Metazoa; Arthropoda; Insecta; Diptera; Drosophilidae. The record is from RefSeq and is a predicted model, not a curated record.
CCUGCUUGGUAACUUCAAAAUGUGACUGCGAUGCAAUUAUCCUAGUUUAAACUUGGCUCAACGUAGAUUUUUAUGACAAUGAAGUUUUAUCAAGUUUUCCGCAAGGAUUGGGAUACUAUAAAAACACAUUGCGCUAGAGGUGGAGACGUCCUAUUUGCUGUACGGCGUAGAUUGCGUUGUACACCUGUAAGUCCAGCAAACGAUGAUUCUCUUCCGGAUCAAAUCUAUACAACGCUCAUGUGGACAACAUCGCUCAUAUUCGUAAGCAUCUGGAUGAUCACCAGUACAUCUGCAUUCUGGCUAACUAACAUAUGUCAUGGCUGGUGCAGAAGAAUGGGCAUCUGCCUCAUGAAGUGGUAUAGAUACUUAAAAGGGUCUUAACGGUUCUGACUUGUGGAAACCCAACAAUUGACUAGCCUGAAUGGAACUCUUGUCCUUGAUCAAUGUGCUAAUAACAAUGAAAUAUGUAUUUGGAGCCAAAAACAUUCCACAAGGUAUCGUUGAAAUAGUAUUGUGUUCUAUGUUGUUUUGCAUAUUUUUAAAAGCUGCGGAUGCUUAUGCUGAUAAGCUGUUUGCUUCAGCCAUUUUGAAAAAGAAUAGCUGUUGCAAUUUUAAGCGGUUAUGUGCAGAGGCGGUUUCCCCAAAAAACCAUCUCCUUACCAUUGUAUUAUACACAUUGCAACAGUUACUGUGUUUAUGCGAUGCCGAAUUCACGCUUUCAUUUCGCGAUUUCAGCCGAUUCGUGUGUGCAUAAACGCCAUUUCGUGAAUUCGGGAACACACAAAAGUUGACUAUGAAUUCAACCUGAAAGCGUGAAAUGGUCACAAAUAAACUCCGGUAACUCUAUAUAAUUAUCGAAGCUGCCAGAUCGAUAUAAAUACAUAAAUACACCUUACUUUUGACAAAUUAUUUUUUAAUUCAGUGCCUAUGGAAACGAGUUUUUAUCUUUUAUUUUGAUGGUAGAAAUAAUGUUAUACUGACUUGCACACACUUUAUCUUUAAUAUUAGCAACAUUAUUUCAUACGAAUCGAAAAAUAUUUUCGGUUUAAAUAUCGCUCAGACCUUUUUCCACCGGUCCGGCAUCUCUGUCAGCUGAGAUUGAUAAAAUGCAUGAAUUCGGCCGCGUCGCAUAAGCAAGAGCAAAUUUUAUUUCACGCUUUCAAGAAAUCAUGAAACCCUUAGCAUAAACAUAGUAAUUUAUUCUAAGCGUAAAGCUGUUCCUACAGAAAACUGCUAUUGCAUAGAGCUAAUGGGUCUCAACGAACCGAAGCCCAAAAGGAUUUCACAAUUUCUUAAAAAAUAAGAUAGCCAUUAGGUUUUCGUCGUUUACGGUCUGAUAUAGCUUCGGGAUUCUCGUCCAUCAUAAAUAAUUUUUUUCUUAAGAGAAUUGGCAUUUGUACUUAAAAUUCCUUUAACAAUAUGAAGCUAAAAUACAUCUCUUUCCCCAAAAAAUCCCACAACGCGAUAAACAAAAGUCAGCAAUUACCUUAAAAAAUACUGUAUAAUGUUAAUGUUACUUUCCGCUGAAGCGAAGUGGUGUCAACUCCUACCCGACUCUUUCUACCGCUAGUAAAUUUAAUGGAAGGAAAAUUCGCUAAAGCGGAAUUUGUUUCUGAUGCAGACAAGCCUCUGUAUAAACAGAAUAUAGAUAAGUCGGCCAUUUUUGGAUGGCAGACUAAUAACAUCUCGCUGCAGCAGAAAAUGGGACCACACAUGUAGUCGAUUCAGUAUUCCAGUGAUUUAUACUGUAUGUUUUACGAGUUUGGGUGAUUUUUGUACCUUGCGUUUCGUGAUUUUUUUGAGAAGGAAAUGCAUUUGAACUGUAGUGACGCCGUUAUAAGGGAAUUGUUGUUGCUGUAGGCCCAAUGAGCCUUCCAGCUGCUCGGAAAUCAGCAAUGGAUCUCAUCUUGUAAAUAAAUUUUCUAUGCUUUUUUUAAGGGAAUGACCAGCUUCAGGUUUAUGUUCUUCUUGUCAAGACCUGACACCUUUUGCACUACAACGUACAUUAUUUAUUAAAAUAAGAAACCAUUUGAAAGAAUAUCGACCGCCCAAUAUUGUUUUUAUACCCGUUACUCGUAGAGUAAAAGGGUAUACUAGAU